Molecule: long non-coding RNA, 650 nt
Filed under: Anser brachyrhynchus (Pink-footed goose)
Lineage: Eukaryota; Metazoa; Chordata; Aves; Anseriformes; Anatidae
Description: lncRNA (ENSABRG00000005645.1)
Source: RNAcentral
AGCACCUUGUGAAGACCAUGAACUUUCCCUGGCUCCUAGUUUGGGGUUACCACUGUGCCAGGCUUUUAUGGAGUUUGAAAAAGGAAAUUGUGACAAAGCAGUAGACCUGCUGUAUCCAAUCCGUUACCAGCUAAUCCAACUAGGAGGCAGUAAUGCUCAGAGAGAUGUUUUCAACCAGUUAUUGAUUCAUGCUGCUUUAAAUUGUAAAUCAAAAGCCAAACAAAACCUUGCUAAAUGCCUCCUGAGGGAACGCGACGUGAUGAGACCAAAUUCACCAAUGACAGAGCGACUUAUGAGGAAGGCAGCAGCAGUUCAUUCAAUGGCUUAAAUCUGUCCUCUGUGCUUGAGAUAGCAAUGUGCUUAGCAAUCAAAGUCUGGGUGCAGGGAGUGGAAGAGUGCUAUGCUGUAGCCCAUGCUAGAGAAUCACACCUUUUGAAUCCUGUGGACAGUCAUAGUUCACUGCUCUUCAGGUAUGUCACUACCUUAUCUGUCCAGCCAUGGCUGUGAUUGGCUCACUCAGUGAUAAAGUUAGUGCAUUUUUUUUUACUGUUAAUUUUUAAUCACGGCAUGUCAAGCAAUGACUUUAGACAGAUAAAUUUUUACUCAAGGGAUGUAAUAAAUCUUACUAUGCAACAAAAGUCUGAGAAAUC